AUGCAAGUCGAGGGGCAUCAGGAAGAAAGCUUGCUUUCUUUGCUGGCGACCGGCGCACGGGUGAGUAACACGUAUCCAACCUGCCCUUUACUCGGGGAUAGCCUUUCGAAAGAAAGAUUAAUACCCGAUAGUAUAAUUAGACCGCAUGGUCUUAUUAUUAAAGGAUUCCGGUAAAGGAUGGGGAUGCGUUCCAUUAGGUUGUUGGUGAGGUAACGGCUCACCAAGCCUUCGAUGGAUAGGGGUUCUGAGAGGAAGGUCCCCACAUUGGAACUGAGACACGGUCCAAACUCC
This 291-nucleotide ribosomal RNA is filed under the name uncultured Bacteroides sp. Its description in RNAcentral is "partial 16S ribosomal RNA". It matches the Rfam family "Bacterial small subunit ribosomal RNA", at positions 55 to 339 of the family's 1533-position model. Lineage: Bacteria; Pseudomonadati; Bacteroidota; Bacteroidia; Bacteroidales; Bacteroidaceae. The record is from RNAcentral.